Molecule: ribosomal RNA, 518 nt
Filed under: uncultured Nitrospira sp.
Lineage: Bacteria; Pseudomonadati; Nitrospirota; Nitrospiria; Nitrospirales; Nitrospiraceae
Description: bacterial SSU rRNA
Rfam family: Bacterial small subunit ribosomal RNA
Source: RNAcentral
GGACGAAAGUCUGACGCAGCGACGCCGCGUGGGGGAUGAAGGUCUUCGGAUUGUAAACCCCUUUCGGGAGGGAAGAUGGAGUGGGUAACCACUUGGACGGUACCUCCAGAAGCAGCCACGGCUAACUUCGUGCCAGCAGCCGCGGUAAUACGAAGGUGGCAAGCGUUGUUCGGAUUCACUGGGCGUACAGGGAGCGUAGGCGGUUGGGUAAGCCCUCCGUGAAAUCUCCGGGCCUAACCCGGAAAGUGCAGAGGGGACUGCUCAGCUAGAGGAUGGGAGAGGAGCGCGGAAUUCCCGGUGUAGCGGUGAAAUGCGUAGAGAUCGGGAGGAAGGCCGGUGGCGAAGGCGGCGCUCUGGAACAUUUCUGACGCUGAGGCUCGAAAGCGUGGGGAGCAAACAGGAUUAGAUACCCUGGUAGUCCACGCCUUAAACUAUGGAUACUAAGUGUCGGCGGGUUACCGCCGGUGCCGCAGCUAACGCAUUAAGUAUCCCGCCUGGGAAGUACGGCCGCAAGGUUG